Molecule: transfer RNA, 69 nt
Filed under: Carinotetraodon salivator (striped redeye puffer)
Lineage: Eukaryota; Metazoa; Chordata; Actinopteri; Tetraodontiformes; Tetraodontidae
Description: tRNA-Ala
Rfam family: tRNA
About the family: Transfer RNA (tRNA) molecules are approximately 80 nucleotides in length. Their secondary structure includes four short double-helical elements and three loops (D, anti-codon, and T loops).
Source: RNAcentral
AAGGCUUUAGCUUAAUUAAAGUGUCUGCUUUGCAUGUAGAAGAUGUGGGGUAGUGUCCUGCAAGUCUUA